RNAcentral lists this ribosomal RNA (465 nucleotides) under uncultured bacterium. Its description in RNAcentral is "partial 16S ribosomal RNA". It matches the Rfam family "Bacterial small subunit ribosomal RNA", at positions 28 to 507 of the family's 1533-position model. The record is from RNAcentral.
GACGAACGCUGGCGGCGUGCUUAACACAUGCAAGUCGAACGGAAAGGCCCUGCUUGCCGGGUACUCGAGUGGCGAACGGGUGAGUAACACGUGGGUGAUCUGCCCUCCACUUCGGGAUAAGCCUGGGAAACUGGGUCUAAUACCGGAUAGGAGCCAUUUUUAGUGUGAUGGUUGGAAAGUUUUUUCGGUGUAGGGUGAGCUCGCGGCCUAUCAGCUUGUUGGUGGGGUAAUGGCUUACCAAGGCGGCGACGGGUAGCCGGCCUGAGAGGGUGGACGGCCACAUUGGGACUGAGAGGCGGCCCAGACUCCUACGGGAGGCAGAAGUGGGGAAUAUUGCACGAUGGGCGCAAGCCUGAUGCAGCGACGCCGCGGGGGGGAUGACGGCCUUCGGGUUGUAAACUACUUGCGCUAGGGACGAAGCUUUUUGUGACGGUACCUAGACAAGAAGCCCCGGCUAACUACGUG